RNAcentral lists this ribosomal RNA (838 nucleotides) under Leifsonia sp. RNAcentral describes it as "bacterial SSU rRNA". It matches the Rfam family "Bacterial small subunit ribosomal RNA", at positions 49 to 903 of the family's 1533-position model. The record is from RNAcentral. Lineage: Bacteria; Bacillati; Actinomycetota; Actinomycetes; Micrococcales; Microbacteriaceae.
UUACCAUGCAGUCGAACGAUGACGGAGAGCUUGCUCUUCUGAUUAGUGGCGAACGGGUGAGUAACACGUGAGCAAUCUGCCCUUGACUCUGGGAUAAGCGUUGGAAACGACGUCUAAUACCGGAUACGACCCUUGGAGGCAUCUCUGGGGGUGGAAAGAAUUUUGGUCAGGGAUGAGCUCGCGGCCUAUCAGCUAGUUGGUGAGGUAAUGGCUCACCAAGGCGACGACGGGUAGCCGGCCUGAGAGGGUGACCGGCCACACUGGGACUGAGACACGGCCCAGACUCCUACGGGAGGCAGCAGUGGGGAAUAUUGCACAAUGGGCGAAAGCCUGAUGCAGCAACGCCGCGUGAGGGACGACGGCCUUCGGGUUGUAAACCUCUUUUAGUAGGGAAGAAGCGAAAGUGACGGUACCUGCAGAAAAAGCACCGGCUAACUACGUGCCAGCAGCCGCGGUAAUACGUAGGGUGCAAGCGUUGUCCGGAAUUAUUGGGCGUAAAGAGCUCGUAGGCGGUUUGUCGCGUCUGCUGUGAAAACCCGAGGCUCAACCUCGGGCCUGCAGUGGGUACGGGCAGACUAGAGUGCGGUAGGGGAGAUUGGAAUUCCUGGUGUAGCGGUGGAAUGCGCAGAUAUCAGGAGGAACACCAAUGGCGAAGGCAGAUCUCUGGGCCGUAACUGACGCUGAGGAGCGAAAGCAUGGGGAGCGAACAGGAUUAGAUACCCUGGUAGUCCAUGCCGUAAACGUUGGGAACUAGAUGUGGGGACCAUUCCACGGUCUCCGUGUCGCAGCUAACGCAUUAAGUUCCCCGCCUGGGGAGUACGGCCGCAAGGCUAACUAG